UAUUACAAAUUUUAUUCAUUUUUAUUGUUAAAAAUUGAAAUAGUUGGUAGAUUAAUACCGUUACACAUGAUGUAUCAUGUGUAUCUCAUUAUGAUUUAUAGGGAUUGAUUUUUAGUAGUAGAAAUGAAUGAAAUUUUUAAAA
This 142-nucleotide microRNA precursor is filed under the name Gossypium hirsutum (cotton). RNAcentral's name for it is "MIR7502 microRNA precursor family". It matches the Rfam family "MIR7502 microRNA precursor family". The record is from Rfam by way of RNAcentral. Lineage: Eukaryota; Viridiplantae; Streptophyta; Magnoliopsida; Malvales; Malvaceae.